This 440-nucleotide ribosomal RNA is filed under the name uncultured bacterium. RNAcentral's name for it is "partial 16S ribosomal RNA". It matches the Rfam family "Bacterial small subunit ribosomal RNA", at positions 339 to 795 of the family's 1533-position model. The record is from RNAcentral.
CUACGGGGUGCUGCAGUGAGGAAUAUUGCACAAUGGGGGGAACCCUGAUGCAGCAACGCCGCGUGGAGGAUGACGCAUUUCGGUGUGUAAACUCCUUUUAUAUGUCAAGAAAAUGACGGUAGCAUAUGAAUAAGCACCGGCUAACUCCGUGCCAGCAGCCGCGGUAAUACGGAGGGUGCAAGUCGUUACUCGGAAUCACUGGGCGUAAAGGACGCGUAGACGGGUUGGAAAGUCAGGUGUGAAUUCCUACAGCUUAACUGUAGAACUGCACUUGAAACUUCUAAUCUAGAGUAUGGGAGGGGGAGAUGGAAUUAGUGGUGUAGGGGUAAAAUCCGUAGAUAUCACUAGGAAUACCUAAAGCGAAGGCGAUCUCCUGGAACAUUACUGACGCUAAGGCGUGAAAGCGUGGGGAGCAAACAGGAUUAGAUACCCCAGUAGUC